Molecule: ribosomal RNA, 3728 nt
Filed under: Triticum aestivum (bread wheat)
Lineage: Eukaryota; Viridiplantae; Streptophyta; Magnoliopsida; Poales; Poaceae
Description: partial small subunit ribosomal RNA
Source: RNAcentral
UUAUUUGCGUCGGUACGAGACGGAGUGCCGCGAGGCGGGGCGCGGUGUGUGGAGGCCGGUACGGGGCGCGCGGCGGCCGCGGAGGGCGGGGCGGGGCGUGCCGGAGUGGUGUGCUGCAGCUGGCGGAGGAAGGAGAGGGUUAGGGUAGAGGAGGAGUGGGUGCCGAAAGAACCGGCAAGUGACGAGGGGAGCAACGCUGGAGCGCCCUCCGUCUCCUACCCUCCCACGCCGCGAGCGCCCGGCUAGACGCGGCGGUCCUGAGCGGGCUGGGCGCCCUGCGAGCUAGGCCACUGCGUGGUCAGCGGCCAGUAGCCGGGCCGGCUGGCUGCUGCCUCUAGCGUUGUGGGACGUGAUAAUAAGACGGAGUCGAGUAGGAAGGAGCUACACACGACGGACCCUCCCGCGCGCGAGCGGCGAGCUGGUCUCGGUGUGCCGGUAGGCCAGUAGCAACGUGAGCGGCGGGGGAGACGAGGAGGUGGAGUUGAAGCCUGUGUGCACAUAAAGACACGGGUGGGGUACAAUGGUCUCCUUUGGCGCACGGUCAGAGAGACCUACUGAAAAUAAAAGACGACUCCUAGUGCUCAAACGUGUCAAAGUACUACAGUUUAAUGACGUAUACAUCACGAAGAACAGUUGUCCCUAUCUUAAUCGACCAGUAUCCAACACCUACAAGAAUCAAUAAAAAACGUGUGUUCCACAAACCCACAAACAGGCUCGGGCAAAGUCAGUGUCUAGGAACUCCAAUUGAGGGUGUACUUAUGUAGUACUCUUAUUGAGAGGAAGGUAUACUAAGUUUUUUACCAUACUACCACCUUGAGUUAGCCCAACGAUCUGAUUACACCGCAACCACGCACGUAGACCUACAUGCAGUCACAAGUGUCGGUCUCCUUCACCCAACAAUGUCCGUCUCCGCCUAAUCCUACUCAUACAGUGCUAAUCCUCUCAAGAGAACUAGAAAUAGCCUUUUUAACUAUCAAAGGAAUUAAAAAAAACCAGAUCUAAUCGUUUCGUCACGUGACUAUAAACAAGACACCACAUCCUCGAAGUUCUGUCGUCCCCGUCGUCCGAAGCGAGUUGUAUAAGUAGAUACUAAAAGAGGCACUAAAACUUUAAUAAACCGGGGAUAUCAGGGGAACUCUUUUUAGUCUUAUAAAUACCUGAUACGAGAUGACCAACUGUUUAAACUAACGUCCCCGACCGUUUCAUUCACGUCACAGUGGCAACGUGUAUAUAAGUCCCGGUGUAGUUUAAAGUCAGUCUUCUUGUACUGGUCCGUCCCACGAAGUACGUCAUAACCCUCACUCUUUCAAACUACAUAUUAGUCACAGCGGAGGUGAGACGGGGCGGGGACACGAAAAAGGAGCUACCUUUACGCCCGGUGGUACGGCGAGUGAAGCGCACGUUGGUGAAGUAGAGGUUGGACAGCAACCUCUCGUAACGUCUGGCUCGCCUGUUUACUGCUCCACAUCGUCGUGUUGGAACGGAGAAGGGGAAUGAUAGGAAGUGUUCGCUCGGUUUCUGUGGGGUUCAACACCGUGGGCAGACUCCGGUCGGAACGAACCGUAUGUACCGACGUAUGUACACUACCCUUUGUACGUACCUUCGAACCCGGACCUAUACGUUAAUACGGAAGGAUUCAAAAUGACUACGUUAAAGAAAAACUUUCUCGGGACUUUAGUAAAUGGGAAAACGAGGACUCUUAACAAAUGGUAACACUUAACAUAGUUACCAGCUUUACCAGUUAAUUGCUGUAUCUGGCUCUAUGGUAUUUUGGGGAAGUCAUCUAGCUGACUUUAUACUUGUAAGAACCGGGUUUCAAUGUCCUAACGUGGUUAAUUAACGAUUGGAGAACCAAAAUUACUAUUAACAAGAUGGUAUACACAAAAAAGAUGAUCGUAGGGUAGGUGUUACAGUCAACCUUAAUAUAUAUAUAUAGAAUCUGUCAAUCACUCUACAUAAGACGCUCUACACAAGUUUAGAGAUAUAAAAAGGUACUAUAAUUGUUAAAAAGAAACUUACAAAUUCACUUGCAAGAGAUUUUAAAGUAAAAGUCAAUUCAGACCAGAAAGAAACCCAUUAAAUAUAUCAUUCCAGACGUUCUUAACUUACGUCUAGUUGAUAAGGGGGGGAAACGUAAAUGACGUUACGUAUAAAUGGACCUCGAUCGUAGUGUAUGACAUACAGUUCACGGUUCAGUCAAAAGUGAUUUAUGUUUAAUUUUAUAUAUAUAUACUUGGAAAAGUAAUCGAAACCGACGUGCAAAGACCUAUUACAGUUAUAGUUAUAAACAUUCAUGAGAAUACUUGAGUAUACUACGUAGAGGGUGAAAAAAAAUAGACGUUCCAUGGACUGUAUCACAAACCUGUCUGAAUAAAGACCAUCAUUGAAGAGGUAACACUUUGAUGAAAGGUGAUGUCAUCGAACGCCUGUUACACCCGAUGAUGUUCUGGCUCUGGACGUAAUUUUCUACUAAUGUAAAUCCUCACUUACCACUUCUUUUAGUGGUUUUACCUUCCUCAAGACAUAAUACUAGAUAAUGUUACACGAACUUCGUUAUGUCUUGGUACUAAUAUGAACCAUAUCAUGUUUGAUUUACAUGUUAUGUCUGAAGGUUCAUCUUAGAAACCGGAUGUCGAGUGGACAAUAGACAGUGAAAUCGUCAAUGAACCCACCCUGUUGGUUACAUAUCUAUUCUUUACGGCUUUGCUUCUAUUAGUGGGGAUGAUUCCAUGUAUAACCCGAACAAGUGUUGUAGUUCAAUCUGGAGAGCCGAGAAAACUAACCUAGCUGAAGAAGACUGUUACCUAUGAGUUACGCGGCACCCAAUGUCCAGUGUAUAAACAAGCCACUCUUGAGACUCUUAUCCCAGAAGAAGGGAAAGAAGAAUUUUGAUCUGGUUCGGAAUAGGGUCAGCCAACUACUACAUAGUGGACUUUUCAAUCUAUUCUCUUUACUAAGUUGGACGUUUGUACAAAAGUAGCAUUGGACAAUAUUGUUUGAUACACGCUGUCCUGGAAAAAUUAGAUUGAAGUUUUUCCUUGAAGUGUUAGGUGGUGAGUAAUAGGUAGUUUAAAUAUAUACAUGUAGAUAUGUAGAUAGAGAGGGAUUAUUAUUAAGAAAGGGAUUAGAUAGGGAUUAUUAUUUCGUACCUAACUGAAACAGCCUAAGUGGCAGUGUUAUGCGAAGGAAAGAUAUUUAAAUGCGAAAGUCAAACUUAAAUUUUGUAUAUGUGCUCCACUAUGAUUUCACAUUCUUUUUUUUGACGAAAAGCAGCAAACUCCGUCCGGGAUAAUAAAAACGGGACUUAAGCGUCGCUGUUGGACGCACCCCUAGCUUGAGUGCAGGAGGGUGAUUCGGACAUUCUGGCUCUGGUUAACUCGACGAUAGGACCUUAUAAGUGAAAAUGACUUCAGAUUCUUAUAAUGAGGGGGGUAAGGUAUUAUAUUCUCACAAAAACUGUGAUGUGAUAAACACCAACACGAUCUGAUAUUUCUUGGUCUUAACAUAAAUAAAUAAAACAGAGGUAACGUUCCAACAACCGUGUACAAAGAUAUUUAUCACACCUACGUUGAAUAUGUACCAAGUAGAAAGUACAUUUGCUAAAAACUGAGAGCCGUACCUCGGUUUAAUACGUCUUGAACUUUUGCUUGGAAAUUCAUUCAAAUGUUUUAAAGACGUUUUUUAUUAGUGCACGAAUACCUAUAUAUGAUGUAUAGUGAUCUAAUAAC